RNAcentral lists this ribosomal RNA (464 nucleotides) under Eudendrium armatum. RNAcentral's name for it is "partial 16S ribosomal RNA". It matches the Rfam family "Bacterial large subunit ribosomal RNA", at positions 1925 to 2544 of the family's 2925-position model. The record is from RNAcentral. Lineage: Eukaryota; Metazoa; Cnidaria; Hydrozoa; Anthoathecata; Eudendriidae.
AAAAGGAUGCGGUAACCUUGACCGUAAUAAUGUAGCAUAAUAAUUUGCCAUUUAAUUGAUGGAUAGUAUGAAUGGUUAAACGAAUAUUACACUGUCUAAAAAAUAGAUUUCAUAAAAAUGAAAUAAUAGUAAAGAUGCUAUUUAAAAUUGUAAGACGAAAAGACCCUAUAGAGCUUAACUAUAAUCUUUCUUUCAAUAAUGAAAAUUUCAUAAAAUAGAAAGAGGGGUAGUUUAGUUGGGGCGACUGUUUUCUAAAAAAAACGAAAAUAAGCUAUAUUAAUAAAAUAAUUUAUUGUAAAAUAAACAAAUUUAACAAUUACUAAAGUAGGCUAUAAUGAUCAGUUACAAUUCAGUAAUAUAUGUAACAAUAAAUGAAUAAAAGCUACCUUAGGGAUAACAGGAUAAUUUUAUUUUAAAGUUCUUAUUAAAAAUAAAGUUUAUCACCUCUAUGUUGAAUUAAGAUA